ACUCACAACUUGCUCAGUGCAAUCUGAAGAGCAUUUAUUGAGCACCUUGUUAUGGGGCACUGACAUAUGCUGCGGAGGAUAGAAGACUUCUCGGGGGGUUAUAAUGGGGCUGGGGAGCUCUUGAACUCAACUGACAUACUGUGUAAGUUAAACUAGUAAAUGCCAUGGGAUUUUUGGAUUAGAAGCAACAAAAACACAAACUAGGUUAAACAAUAAGAAUUUGUGGCAAAAAAUAAUGGGCUGUCGCAAGGAAUCGGGGGCAGGCAGGGCUGUACCAGGGACACAGGAACCGAUGCUGCCAAUAACAUUAGACUCC
RNAcentral lists this long non-coding RNA (316 nucleotides) under Homo sapiens (human). RNAcentral's name for it is "non-protein coding lnc-KCNMB2-14:1". The record is from RNAcentral. Lineage: Eukaryota; Metazoa; Chordata; Mammalia; Primates; Hominidae.